AUACGUAGGGUGCGAGCGUUAAUCGGAAUUACUGGGCGUAAAGCGCGCGUAGGCGGCUAAUUAAGUCAAAUGUGAAAUCCCCGAGCUUAACUUGGGAAUUGCAUUCGAUACUGGUUAGCUAGAGUGUGGGAGAGGAUGGUAGAGUUCCAGGUGUAGCGGUGAAAUGCGUAGAGAUCUGGAGGAAUACCGAUGGCGAAGGCAGCCAUCUGGCCUAACACUGACGCUGAGGUGCGAAAGCAUGGGGAGCAAACAGGAUUAGAAACCCCUGUAGUCC
Molecule: ribosomal RNA, 274 nt
Filed under: uncultured bacterium
Lineage: Bacteria
Description: partial 16S ribosomal RNA
Rfam family: Bacterial small subunit ribosomal RNA
Source: RNAcentral